UUUGUUUCCAAACUUUCAACAAUAUUAAGCUUAACACAUCAUAUAAACAGAAGAGAAGAAUGGACGGUUAUUCAUGUCUACAUUCAACUCCGUCAGAAGAUAACUUGAAAAUUCAUUGGAGCAAGGACAACGAAACCUGAAAGCAAAACAGCAAGGAACUUUUGCGCAUGCUACGAUGAUGCUAUGUCACCCUACCUUGCACCAUACCAGACAUAUAUACAAGUUUUACGAAUGAAAGAGAGUGCAAGUUAGCAAAUUUACACUAAUGUGCGCCAACCCUCAACUCCAAAGAGAGACUCUAAAAACAUAUCAACACUGACGAUUAAACGUGGUUUCGAUUCAGUAAAGCCUAUAAGCACGCAACCAUAAUUGCUUUUGAACCACACAAUGGCAACUGGCUCUUUUUUUUCAUUUUUUCCUUUUUGAAUGACCGAGAAAUCUGUCAGGGGCCAACCCUUAGGACCACCUACAGCCUUUGAAACUCGAAGAUAAAGGGAACACCCCCUACCCUUCUCCACCUAAAUACCAGGCUUAGUUUGCAUGGUGCAGGGCUCGAACCUGUGACCUAAAUCACAAGUCUCUUAACCUUUACCACUUGAACUUAGCCUGAGGCAAAAGUAAUGCGACCGGUGUUCAUCAACCAUUACUAAAUACUUCAGCGAGGAAAAAGGUGUUCAACAAGGAUUUUCUUCAGUGAGCUUCGCGCAUACAUGUGUCAAUUGACCUGAACGACAGAUUUGCAUCAAAACUUACAAAAAUUGUUGAAACCCCCUGUCUCAUCCCAUUUGCAGCUACUGACUCAUGUGUGGAAAAAUUCGCCAAAGAAGAACACAUUCAGUAAAGCCAAGAAAGAGAAUAUAAAGUGUAACAUGCAAUUUUAAUAAGAUAGUAUAUUCAAGGCCCUACAUAAAACCAAGAAUAGUAUAUCCAAGGCCCUACAUAAAACCAAGAACUGAGCAUGUUUAUAACAGAAGCAUAGCUGAGCUGGUGCUAGCAGCUUAUUUCUUCACAGAAACAACAUGAUCAUUUAUAGGGUUUGGAGCAAUCGGAUUUUCGAAGUCAAGAAACAUAGCAGCAAAUUCUUCGCAGAUUUGAAGAAUUACCUGAACAAAAUCCCCAAAACUAGCAUUUCAGAAUAACGGACACCAAGAAAGCAAAGAGUUGAAGAGAAACCGGUGGGAAAUUGUUGCUAAAGAAAGAAAACUGAAACGUUUUUGGGUGCUGUCUUGGCCUGAGGUAUGUAGCGGUGGGUCGUGUGUGGGUGGGACGAAACGAGCUGGAU
Molecule: long non-coding RNA, 1282 nt
Filed under: Nicotiana benthamiana
Lineage: Eukaryota; Viridiplantae; Streptophyta; Magnoliopsida; Solanales; Solanaceae
Description: long non-coding RNA (NBEN_LNC018793)
Source: RNAcentral